Molecule: signal recognition particle RNA, 258 nt
Filed under: bacterium
Lineage: Bacteria
Description: signal recognition particle sRNA large type
Rfam family: Bacterial large signal recognition particle RNA
About the family: The signal recognition particle (SRP) is a universally conserved ribonucleoprotein involved in the co-translational targeting of proteins to membranes. Archaeal SRP consists of a 7S RNA and homologues of the eukaryotic SRP19 and SRP54 proteins.
Source: RNAcentral
CCGUACUCCAUGGGGACUUAGCGAAUCUCUUGACUCGAACGCUUAGCGAGGUGCAGAGCCUACUGUGAGGGGUAAUUGAAAAUUAAAUAAAAAUUAUAAAAGUGUUGAUAUUUAAAUAUAUUGUGGCGAAAGCUGUUGAACCGUGUCAGGAUGGAAACAUAGCAGCACUAAGGCAUAACUUUCGGGUGCUUUAUCUUUUAAAAGUAGCUUUUAUUUUUUGAGUUUAGUUUUGAAUUAUUUCGAUAGGUAGUGGUACGG